Pan troglodytes (chimpanzee) is the source of this 396-nucleotide long non-coding RNA. RefSeq lists it as uncharacterized. The record is from RefSeq and is a predicted model, not a curated record. The transcript has 4 exons. Lineage: Eukaryota; Metazoa; Chordata; Mammalia; Primates; Hominidae.
GCCUGAUGAUCUGUCACUGUCUCUCACCAUCUAGUUGCAGGAAAAUAAGCUCAGGGCUCCCACUGAUUUCACAUUAUGAAGGAGACAUGCAUACAAGGAGAAUGCCAGGUGAACGUGAAGACCAUCAUUUGCAAGCCAAGAGAGGCCUGGAGCAGAUCCUUCAGAGCCCUCAGAAGGAACCAACCCUGCUGGCACCUUGAUUUUGGACUUCCAGCCUCCAGAACUAAGAACUUGAUGUAUACCUCCUGACCUGUUCAUCUUGUAGCUGCCUCUUGACAGCACAUGUUGGCACCUUUAGAAAGAUCUAGAAAUCCACGUGUUGUACGUAAAUCUGGGGCUGUUGUUACUGCAGAUGUACCUUCCACAACUUGAUUUUCUGUGAUGUCAAUUAUUCAG